RNAcentral lists this ribosomal RNA (240 nucleotides) under uncultured bacterium. RNAcentral describes it as "partial 16S ribosomal RNA". It matches the Rfam family "Bacterial small subunit ribosomal RNA", at positions 94 to 334 of the family's 1533-position model. The record is from RNAcentral.
ACCGGCGCACGGGUGCGUAACGCGUAUGCAAUCUACCUUUUACAGGGGAAUAGCCCAGAGAAAUUUGGAUUAAUGCCCCAUAGUAUAUAUCAUUCGCAUGUUUGGUAUAUUAAAGUUCCAACGGUAAAAGAUGAGCAUGCGUCCCAUUAGUUAGUUGGUAAGGUAACGGCUUACCAAGACGAUGAUGGGUAGGGGUCCUGAGAGGGAGAUCCCCCACACUGGUACUGAGACACGGACCAG